Molecule: long non-coding RNA, 1211 nt
Organism: Hemicordylus capensis (graceful crag lizard)
Lineage: Eukaryota; Metazoa; Chordata; Lepidosauria; Squamata; Cordylidae
Exons: 3
Source: RefSeq, a predicted model, not a curated record
UCUGGAAGAAACUGGGGAGGGGGCCUAUGCAGAUCCCCUGGGAAUUGAUGGGGUAGUAAACACAGGCUUCUGCUGCCGCAUCAGCUGCUCAGGCUUAAAAUAGGAAUGAGAAGAGUCCAAGGAGGAGCUAUAGAUAGAGAGGGAAUAAAGGGCCCAGAGAGGAUGGGCUAUAUUUGGUGAGUGCUGGAACACAGAGCAAACAAGCUGAAGGAAAUGGAGGAAGGCUAACUUUUUGGAAUAGAUUAGGGAUGUGCAGAACGUUUUGGCGGUGAAAUAUUUUGACUCGAAAAGGGCCAUGUCAAGCUCAAAACUAAAUAUCAUUUAAAGGGCCUGUUUGGAGUUCAGAGCAAAAGAACUCAAUUUCAAGUGAAAACCUUUUGAUGUUUCGAGUGCCAUUUUGGAGGCCUCUUUUUCCCUUGCUGAUUGCUCUGUUUUCUGGCACUAGCUUCCGAUUGGCUUGUGAUCUCUUUGCUUCUUUGUUGGUUUAUUAUACAAAUCAAUGUUGUCAUGGGCAACUGUAUCUCCAUUGGCUGGGGGGAGGGGGGAACCCAAAAGGAGGGAGUUUUGAAAUGUAUAGGGCCUGGGAGGCAGAGAGAACCCUUAUAGUGUGCCUCUCUUGAAGAGGAUACAUCAGGAUGGAAGGAAGGAACCCAUUCCAACAAGUUUGAAAUGGUUAAUGGAGCAAGACCAACUGGGAAGAAAAGAGCAUUUCAAUCACUAAGAACAUUAUCUGCUAAGCAUCUCUGGAGACACCUUAAGCUGACAGACUGAGGACAAGAUGUAGGAUUCCAGACUCCACAUCAUAUCGACAGCCAAAGAGUGCUCCUUACACCCUGAAAAUGCACUGAGCUCUUUAACCAAAAUGCAAUUCCCCUCAGAACAGAAUUCUGCUUAGAAGAAAUGUUUAGAAUGCUUAGAGAAAACUAGCCCAAGGCAACAAAACUUUGGAAAAUAGAAGGAACCCUGAAAACAAGCAUCUAUGCUUGUAGAUGCUAGUACAAAGGAACUAAAGAUAUGCAGCACAAAAACAAAAAACAAAAACCCUGGGCCCUGCAUGAGCAGUUGCCAUUUGGCACUGUACAUGGAGGUUACACACAAUGUCCUACAUGGAAGAGGCUUCUGUGCAGGACCUGUACAAUGAGUGAAGAGGCCCUCUAUCAGUUGCAUCCAUAGCAUGGCAACUUUGAAGAUGGAAACAUGGCUGCAUACAG